RNAcentral lists this non-coding RNA (174 nucleotides) under Marininema mesophilum. RNAcentral describes it as "Thermoactinomycetaceae bacterium SCSIO 10219 6S / SsrS RNA". It matches the Rfam family "6S / SsrS RNA". Rfam says of the family: E. coli 6S RNA was the first non coding RNA to be sequenced, but its function was unknown until recently. It consists of 184 nucleotides that fold into an extended hairpin structure with a large single-stranded internal bulge. Lineage: Bacteria; Bacillati; Bacillota; Bacilli; Caryophanales; Thermoactinomycetaceae. The record is from Rfam by way of RNAcentral.
AGAGCCCUGAGAUGUACGUGGGUUUCCGAAAGUUUUGAGCCAACACCAUUAUAGCGGGAGCUUGCGUCACGGAUGAGCGCAGAUGCCCUAUGGGACCUGUUAACAUUAGUGCAGAGCACCCACCUGCGAGAGCAGGUUCGAAACUGAGGAGGCCACGACAUAUAUGGGGCUCUU